This 84-nucleotide transfer RNA is filed under the name Candidatus Woesearchaeota archaeon. Its description in RNAcentral is "tRNA-Ser". It matches the Rfam family "tRNA". From Rfam's summary of the family: Transfer RNA (tRNA) molecules are approximately 80 nucleotides in length. Their secondary structure includes four short double-helical elements and three loops (D, anti-codon, and T loops). The record is from RNAcentral. Lineage: Archaea; Nanobdellati; Candidatus Woesearchaeota.
GCCGACGUGGCACAACCUGGUACUGCGCAAGACUGGAAAUCUUGUUUCCGCAAGGAUAUCCCGGUUCAAAUCCGGGCGUCGGCG